GGGGGUGUACAGGUUUCGACGGGGGUGUUGAAGCCGCAGAAGCGAGCCGCAGUCUCCCAGUCUGCGUUAAAAAGGGAAACUUAAAUACAAACGCUAGAAAUAAUAAUUUAGCUUACGCAGCUUAGUUAACGCUGCCUUGUCGGUCCGGACUCACCUGCAGGCCCGGGGCACCGGCAUCAUAAAUGCAGGAAACCUCGCGUGAAUUCCCGGCAGCGCGAGGGACUAACGGGAUAGCCGCCGGCAUAGCCUGCUUAUGGGCGCUGCCGAAAGCGAAACAAAAAAUCAUAAGCUGCGCUCGGAGACGCUGCCGUGGAGAUGCUUUCGGACAUGGGUUCGAUUCCCAUCACCUUCACCA
Molecule: transfer-messenger RNA, 355 nt
Filed under: Anaerovoracaceae
Lineage: Bacteria; Bacillati; Bacillota; Clostridia; Peptostreptococcales
Also listed under: 2 other names
Description: CAKQOE01 sp934255545 Standard tmRNA
Rfam family: transfer-messenger RNA
About the family: Bacterial tmRNA, also known as 10Sa RNA or SsrA, is named for its dual tRNA and mRNA-like properties. Its role is to liberate the mRNA from a stalled ribosome. To accomplish this part of the tmRNA is used as a reading frame that ends in a translation stop signal.
Source: RNAcentral